GACGAACGCUGGCGGCGUGCUUAACACAUGCAAGUCGAGCGGUGAGGCCCUUUCGGGGGUACACGAGCGGCGAACGGGUGAGUAACACGUGGGUGACCUGCCCUCAGCUCUGGGAUAAGCCUGGGAAACCGGGUCUAAUACCGGAUAUGACUCCAUGACGCAUGUUGUGGGGUGGAAAGCCUUGUGCGGCUGAGGAUGGGCCCGCGGCCUAUCAGCUUGUUGGUGGGGUGAGGCCUACCAAGGCGACGACGGGUAGCCGGCCUGAGAGGGCGACCGGCCACACUGGGACUGAGACACGGCCCAGACUCCUACGGGAGGCAGCAGUGGGGAAUCUUGCACAAUGGGGGAAACCCUGAUGCAGCGACGCCGCGUGAGCGAUGAAGCCCUUCGGGGUGUAAGGCUCUUUCGGCGGGAACGAUAAUGACGGUACCCGCAGAAGAAGCUGCGGCUAACUACGUGCCAGCAGCCGCCGUAAU
This 476-nucleotide ribosomal RNA is filed under the name uncultured bacterium. Its description in RNAcentral is "bacterial SSU rRNA". It matches the Rfam family "Bacterial small subunit ribosomal RNA", at positions 28 to 524 of the family's 1533-position model. The record is from RNAcentral.